Molecule: ribosomal RNA, 460 nt
Filed under: uncultured bacterium
Lineage: Bacteria
Description: partial 16S ribosomal RNA
Rfam family: Bacterial small subunit ribosomal RNA
Source: RNAcentral
CCUACGGGAUGCAGCAGUGAGGAAUAUUGGUCAAUGGACGCAAGUCUGAACCAGCCAUGCCGCGUGCAGGAAGACGGCUCUAUGAGUUGUAAACUGCUUUUGUACGAGGGUAAACGCAGAUACGCGUAUCUGUCUGAAAGUAUCGUACGAAUAAGGAUCGGCUAACUCCGUGCCAGCAGCCGCGGUAAUACGGAGGAUUCAAGCGUUAUCCGGAUUUAUUGGGUUUAAAGGGUGCGUAGGCGGUCGGAUAAGUUAGAGGUGAAAUCCCGAGGCUCAACUUCGGAAUUGCCUCUGAUACUGUUAGGCUAGAGAGUAGUUGCGGUAGGCGGAAUGUAUGGUGUAGCGGUGAAAUGCUUAGAGAUCAUACAGAACACCGAUUGCGAAGGCAGCUUACCAAGCUACGUCUGACGUUGAGGCACGAAAGCGUGGGGAGCAAACAGGAUUAGAUACCCGUGUAGUC